RNAcentral lists this unclassified non-coding RNA (229 nucleotides) under plant metagenome. Its description in RNAcentral is "partial contains small subunit ribosomal RNA, internal transcribed spacer 1, and 5.8S ribosomal RNA". The record is from RNAcentral.
GAUCCGUAGGUGAACCUGCGGAGGGAUCAUUACAGAGUUCUCGCCCUCGCGGGUAGAUCUCCCACCCACUGUUAUCGUUACUGUGUUGCUAUGGCAGGCCGCCGGGCCCCGCUCGGCCGCCGGCUCCUGCUGGCGCGCGCCCGCCAGAGGCCCAGCAAACUCUGAAUGUUAGUGUCGUCUGAGUACUAUAUAAUAGUUAAAACUUUCAACAACGGAUCUCUUGGUUCUG